AAGGGAAUCUCGUGAAAAUCGGGAGCGGACCCGCCGCUGUGAUCGGGGACGAAAGCCGUAACAAACCACUGAACAUCCAUGUUUGGGAAGGAACGGUCAGUAGGAUGAUCCGUAAGCCAGAAGACCU
RNAcentral lists this non-coding RNA (127 nucleotides) under Desulfobacca sp. Lineage: Bacteria; Pseudomonadati; Thermodesulfobacteriota; Desulfobaccia; Desulfobaccales; Desulfobaccaceae. The record is from RNAcentral.